AAUUCAGCCCUAAUGGCGAAUGUGUGCGAACGUUCACCCUGGGAAGAGGUAUGGGACGAUAGCUGGCAUGGCAUCCAGACGCUGAAGGCGAGCUAAUACAGUGCAUUCGUCGCCGGAGAAUGAUGUUGCAUUUCACCCAAGUGGAAAUUUCUUGGUGACUGGCGGCGAUGACGAUACAAUAAGAUUGCUUGAUUUAUUAGAAGUUGCUCGUUUGGAAAUCUAAUUUGCAUACAUUUGAUGCCAAUAGCUCUCGU
Rhagoletis zephyria (snowberry fruit fly) is the source of this 254-nucleotide long non-coding RNA. RefSeq lists it as uncharacterized. Lineage: Eukaryota; Metazoa; Arthropoda; Insecta; Diptera; Tephritidae. The record is from RefSeq and is a predicted model, not a curated record.